CCUACGGGUGGCAGCAGUGGGGGAUAUUGCACAAUGGGGGAAACCCUGAUGCAGCAACGCCGCGUGCAGGAAGACGGCUCUAUGAGUUGUAAACUGCUUUUGUACGAGGGUAAAUCCCGAUACGUGUAUCGGGUUGAAAGUAUCGUACGAAUAAGGAUCGGCUAACUCCGUGCCAGCAGCCGCGGUAAUACGGAGGAUUCAAGCGUUAUCCGGGUUUAUUGGGUUUAAAGGGUGCGUAGGCGGUUCGAUAAGUUAGAGGUGAAAUCCCGGGGCUCAACUCCGGCACUGCCUCUGAUACUGUCGGGCUAGAGUUUAGUUGCGGUAGGCGGAAUGUAUGGUGUAGCGGUGAAAUGCAUAGAGAUCAUACAGAACACCGAUUGCGAAGGCAGCUUACCAAACUACGACUGACGUUGAGGCACGAAAGCGUGGGGAGCAAACAGGAUUAGAUACCCGAGUAGUC
This 460-nucleotide ribosomal RNA is filed under the name uncultured bacterium. RNAcentral describes it as "partial 16S ribosomal RNA". It matches the Rfam family "Bacterial small subunit ribosomal RNA", at positions 338 to 795 of the family's 1533-position model. The record is from RNAcentral.